Long non-coding RNA from Vigna unguiculata (cowpea), 414 nucleotides. RefSeq lists it as uncharacterized. Lineage: Eukaryota; Viridiplantae; Streptophyta; Magnoliopsida; Fabales; Fabaceae. The record is from RefSeq and is a predicted model, not a curated record.
AUACAUUAUACCAACCCAUAACAAAGAAUUAUUUUGGAGAAUUAAAGUGAAGAGUUACCAACUUAACAUUACUCAAAGAUCAUUUAACAUGAAGUUCAUCACUUCAAUUUUGUUCCUGCUGCUUGUUCUUUCCAUGGAAAUUGAAAAUGAAGGAGCAAUGAAAAUGGUAGAAGCAGAAGUGUGUUAUCAAGAGUUCUACUGGUCAGAUUGUGGUUUCUUCGUGUGCAAACCUGAAUGUAUCAAAAGAUAUGGAAAAUCUGCGAAUGGAAUGUGUUAUGACUCUCUUACAUGCAUGUGCAGUUUCUAUUGUAAAUAGGCCUUUCGUUUUAUCAUCAAACGUUGUUCUUAUAUGAAUAUCAAAUUAAGUGAUCCACAAUGAUGGAUUCAAAAUAAAAUAAAAUAACUCUUUUGCUA